This 501-nucleotide ribosomal RNA is filed under the name uncultured bacterium. RNAcentral's name for it is "partial 16S ribosomal RNA". It matches the Rfam family "Bacterial small subunit ribosomal RNA", at positions 28 to 507 of the family's 1533-position model. The record is from RNAcentral.
GACGAACGCUGGCGGCGUGCUUAACACAUGCAAGUCGAACGGUGAAGGGGUCUGCUUUUGUGGGCCCUGGAUGAGUGGCGAACGGGUGAGUAACACGUGAGUAACCUGCCCCCUUCUUCUGGAUAACCGCAUGAAAGUGUGGCUAAUACGGGAUAUUCUGGGUCUGUCGCAUGAUGGGUCUGGGAAAGAUUGCGCCUUUGGGUGUUUUUGGUGGGGAUGGGCUCGCGGCCUAUCAGCUUGUUGGUGGGGUGAUGGCCUACCAAGGCGGUGACGGGUAGCCGGCCUGAGAGGGUGGACGGUCACACUGGGACUGAGACACGGCCCAGACUCCUACGGGAGGCAGCAGUGGGGAAUAUUGCACAAUGGGCGCAAGCCUGAUGCAGCGACGCCGCGUGAGGGAUGGAGGCCUUCGGGUUGUAAACCUCUUUCGCCAGUGAAGCAGGCCUGCUCCUUGUGGGUGGGUUGACGGUAGCUGGAUAAGAAGCGCCGGCUAACUACGUG